UAUGAGUAGAGAUUCCAAAGGAUG
This 24-nucleotide non-coding RNA is filed under the name Arabidopsis thaliana (thale cress). The record is from RNAcentral. Lineage: Eukaryota; Viridiplantae; Streptophyta; Magnoliopsida; Brassicales; Brassicaceae.